This 349-nucleotide unclassified non-coding RNA is filed under the name Hevea brasiliensis (rubber tree). Lineage: Eukaryota; Viridiplantae; Streptophyta; Magnoliopsida; Malpighiales; Euphorbiaceae. The record is from RNAcentral.
UUUUUCAGGAUAUGGAGGACAGAUUGAUUGAGCUGGAAGCACUGCAGAAGGCUCUGCUAGAAGGCACAGAAGCCUAUGAUAAAAUGCAAGGUGAACUUGUAAAGGCAAGGAACAGCCUAACCAAAAUCUUGACAUCGAAGGAUGUGAAAGCAACUUUGUUAGAGAUGGUUGAGAAGAAUGAACUCAAUAGAACCUUGUUGACACUUCUUGAUGAAAAUAUAUCAAGUGCCAACCAAAGUAACCAGAAAGAAGCAGCGGCUUUCAUGGAAAAGCUUCGUGCAGCUAUGCUAAAGUACAUGACAGUUUAGCACUCGAUGGUAAAUAAUGCAUUCAACUUAGCAGGGAACUA